This 246-nucleotide unclassified non-coding RNA is filed under the name fungal sp. RNAcentral's name for it is "partial contains 5.8S ribosomal RNA, internal transcribed spacer 2, and large subunit ribosomal RNA". The record is from RNAcentral. Lineage: Eukaryota; Fungi.
CGCACAUUGCGCCCUUGGGUAUUCCUAGGGGCAUGCCUGUUCGAGCGUCAUUACAAACCAUCAAGCUUCGGCUUGGCCUUGGGCGGCACGUCCUUCUACCGGACGCCCCCAAAAGUCUUCGGCGACGGCAUCGAGCCACAAGCGUACAAGCAUUUUCUCGCUAUGUAGGCUCUGAAGUCGUCCGCUUCGAAAUCUCAACACCUAAAGGUUGACCUCGGAUCAGGCAAGGAUACCCGCUGAACUUAA